GACGAACGCUGGCGGCGUGCUUAACACAUGCAAGUCGAACGGAAAGGCCCUGCUUUUGCGGGGUGCUCGAGUGGCGAACGGGUUAGUAACACGUGAGUAACCUGCCCUUGACUUUGGGAUAACUUCAGGAAACUGGGGCUAAUACCGGAUAGGAGCUCCUGCUGCAUGGUGGGGGUUGGAAAGUUUCGGCGGUUGGGGAUGGACUCGCGGCUUAUCCGCUUGUUGGUGAGGUAGUGGCUUACCAAGGCUUUGACGGGUAGCCGGCCUGGGAGGGUGACCGGCCACAUUGGGACUGAGAGACGGCCCAGACGCCUACGGGAGGCAGCAGUGGGGAAUAUUGCAGAAUAGGCGGAAGCCAGAUGCAGCAACGCCGCGUGCGGGAUGACGGCCUUCGGGUUGUAAACCGCUUUCGCCUGUGACGAAGCGUGAGUGACGGUAAUGGGUAAAGAAGCACCGGCUAACUACGUG
This 468-nucleotide ribosomal RNA is filed under the name uncultured bacterium. RNAcentral's name for it is "partial 16S ribosomal RNA". It matches the Rfam family "Bacterial small subunit ribosomal RNA", at positions 28 to 507 of the family's 1533-position model. The record is from RNAcentral.